Non-coding RNA from Microcebus murinus (gray mouse lemur), 633 nucleotides. The record is from RefSeq and is a predicted model, not a curated record. Lineage: Eukaryota; Metazoa; Chordata; Mammalia; Primates; Cheirogaleidae.
UCUCCCUUCUUCCGAAGAGCCCCUCUGCUAUUCCCAGGUACUCACACAACAUUGGGGUAUGAGAUGAAUUUAAUAAAUCCUGUGUUUUUUUUUAAUCUUAUUCAUUUUAAUGAUGAGGAAGUUGUGAUCCUCUUGGAAGUUAGUGGCAAAGUCAGCACUCAGAACUGAGUCUCUGGAUUCCCGGUGACAAGGUUGAACUUUACCUGAGCUCUGUACUUCCAGAAAAGAGCCGUGGUUAAGAAAUUCCCACCUCCCUUUUGUGUUUUGGGAAAUGAAUUACUGCAGAGAACCAUCCUUCCCAGAUGACUUAGGCAGGACUCUCUGUCCAUUCCUUCUCAUGACUCCCAGAAGACUUUGGAUGGCUCCCCUGUUUACUGGUGACAGGUUGAGUACAGACCUUGCGUCUUUACCUGCAUCUGCUGACAAGAGAUAUGGAGUCUACUGAAUCAUGAAUUGGGUAUUUAUUUACAAUUGUAUAAACCAUGGAGGAAGGAUAUUGGCUAUUUUCUUCACUGCUUUGCUGCAUAAAACAGAGCCAGGAAUACAAUAGGCUCUCAAUAAGUAUUUGCUGAAUAAGUGAUUGGGUAAAUGAAUAGAAUAGUUGUAUUAUCUCUACCGAAGCAUAUACCAUAU